UAGCUACCCCGCGGACUACACUUUGUCCUAUCACUGUUUUUUUCACAUUUUCCGGACUAUCCCGGACUACCCUUUUUCUGUCCCGGACAGUCCGCGCAAGAAACAGAGUGCAGUUUUGAAGACACCAACACAUUCACACGUAUGUGUCAAAAUCAAAAAAAAAUGUGUCAAAAUGGGUUUGCUUUGAUUAUCGUUCUUCGCGUGUCUAACAGCAGGUUGAAUUUUAUUUUGUUAUUUUGUCAUUUUUCAGUAAAUUGGCAAAUUUUUCGUACAGCAGCACAAACGCGAUAAAAGACAAUGGCGAUAAUGACCAAAACAAAAGUGACAGCUACCUCUGGUAUUAUACGCACACCAUUGCAACUGCUCGGAAAGUGUUUUUUUAAGCUGCAAAGCGUAGUCCGGGACGGGAUAGUCCUGCCGUAAAAACGAAUUCGACAUUAGUUUCAUCUUUGCGGGACUCUUGUUAUAAACAUACACGCUGCUUUAUUUUAACUCUAAUUUGAUUAGGAUCUACUGUUCGGUAUUCUUAUGCAAAAUGUCAAAAAGUGAGUUAUCGGGUACUGGAUAAUUGAGUAACAUUUACUCAAAUUUUCAUAAUUACCAUGUUUACUCAGUUUUGAGUUAUUAUCCAUGAUGUUUACUCACCCCUGAGUAUAUGUAUAUGUCAAAAGUUUUCAACAGCGAUAUUAUCUGUUUCCGAAGAACAAUUGGUGUCGCUUUUUAUUCGUUUGCUAGCACUCAACAUCAUCAUUGCAGAGGAUUUGAAAACAUAAAAAACAUCUCUUCAAAAUGAACAACCGCAUGUUGUGUGUCCUGCGAUGCCGUUUUAAGUCAGGCUUUUAUUCGUGAUAAUGAACGGAAACAUUUGUAUCGAUGUACAGUGCCCAAAACAUGCAAUCGAUACAAUUUAAAUCCUUCGCAGUGUUAGGUGACGGAUGAUGACGGAAUUUCUGGUGUGCGUACUGUACAAAAACAUGAGCCACAGUCCACGUGCAACUGUGAACCGGUUGGUUGCCGCAUUAUAUAAAGACACGUGAAUGAUUUAAAACUUUUAUAAUGUUUCGAUGAAAAAUAAAUCUGUUUUGAUUGUUCUGAA
This is a long non-coding RNA of Wyeomyia smithii (pitcher-plant mosquito), 1096 nucleotides long. RefSeq lists it as uncharacterized. The record is from RefSeq and is a predicted model, not a curated record. The transcript has 2 exons. Lineage: Eukaryota; Metazoa; Arthropoda; Insecta; Diptera; Culicidae.